UGGGGAAUUUUGGGACAAUGGGGGAAACCCUGAUCCAGCCAUCCCGCGUGUGCGAUGAAGGCCUUCGGGUUGUAAAGCACUUUUGGCAGGAAAGAAACGUCGCGGGUUAAUACCCCGCGAAACUGACGGUACCUGCAGAAUAAGCACCGGCUAACUACGUGCCAGCAGCCGCGGUAAUACGUAGGGUGCAAGCGUUAAUCGGAAUUACUGGGCGUAAAGCGUGCGCAGGCGGUUCGGAAAGAAAGAUGUGAAAUCCCAGAGCUUAACUUUGGAACUGCAUUUUUAACUACCGGGCUAGAGUGUGUCAGAGGGAGGUGGAAUUCCGCGUGUAGCAGUGAAAUGCGUAGAUAUGCGGAGGAACACCGAUGGCGAAGGCAGCCUCCUGGGAUAACACUGACGCUCAUGCACGAAAGCGUGGGGAGCAAACAGGAUUAGAUACCCUGGUAGUCCACGCCCUAAACGAUGUCAACUAGCUGUUGGGGGCCUUCGGGCCUUGGUAGCGCAGCUAACGCGUGAAGUUGACCGCCUGGGGAGU
RNAcentral lists this ribosomal RNA (535 nucleotides) under uncultured bacterium. RNAcentral's name for it is "partial 16S ribosomal RNA". It matches the Rfam family "Bacterial small subunit ribosomal RNA", at positions 355 to 881 of the family's 1533-position model. The record is from RNAcentral.